AUCUGUUAAUUUUGAUUUUAGCCUUAGACGAUUUGCCGUUUGCCACACAAUCAGUUGAUCGGGAAUGUUCGGAAAGAACGUACGCUAUGCCGCGUUUUAGCUCUGGGAAAAUGUUAAAAGCUGUGAAGAACUAUGCGCGCUUAUACUGCAGUAGUUGCAACAAGGAUGUAGAUCUGAAUGUCGUGGUGAAUUCGUCAAAAACCCCAGAUGUGAUGAAUGCUCGGAACCUUCGAUUUUUGUCUGUACCUUGUGUAAAUCUCACUUUAGCCUUCUAAAGUACGCGUACAUUCAUUUGGGAAAAAAGCACUUCAAACCUCUCUCGGCUGGAUUUCAAUGCUCAGAGUGUCCAUACAAAACGAGGCAUAAGACUCACCUCGUUCGACAUGUCGAAUCCUAUCACAUGACCAUAAGGUGUCCCGUAUGUGGACAAAAUGUUAGCAAUCACGUCAAAUUCUUGUGGCACCAAUCAUCCAAUUGUCCGUAUGUGAUUGAUACCAAGUAUCUCGCGAAUGUAUUUAAGUGUGGAAAAUACAGUUUGAAAAAACAUUUUGAAGGACACCCGGAUUGCAUGCCAAUGGACGAUAGACAUGGAAGAAGAUACUUUCCGGAAAGUGACGUGCGUUUCCCCCCAGAAUGAGCUGUAUCCAUCAGAGAGCUUACGUAUAUACCUCACAACGUGUCUGGCUCCAGCGCAAAGUGGUGUAUAAGGACGAGAUUUGGAACAGAUUCAAGGCUCUCCUCCUUCUUUUUUUCUACGAUAUUUAUACUUUCCUCCCCCCCCCCCCCCCCCGCAGAGACGGUAAUGCCAGUCCCGUUAACUUGGCAAAUACGUUCCGCUGCUUCAGCAUCGCCGAUAUUGAUCCAUAUCCCUCUCGUUUCGAUGUGAAAACUUGAAAAUUCGCAACAACGCGGUGUAUGCUCUGUAGCCACCGGCAUGACAAUGGAAACUUUUCCUCGCCCGCAGCGAAAAAAAAAUAGCCGCGCACCGAAAUAAAGCUCGACGAUUUUCCGGUCGAUAGAAAAGCUCAACGUUGACAAUGUAGCCGUUCUCUCUGCGGCCGUUCGUCGAUAACCGCCGCGGUCGUCCACUUUUAUCAAUUACAAUUAUAUCCGACCACUAAUUCGAUUCUUCAAUCAGUCGCGUAUUCAGGGCGCUACCGGCGACGCUGUAGGUUAACGAAAAGUAUUUUUUUCUCCUCGUCACUGCAAGUUCUCUCUCUCGGAGGAGGAGGAGGAGGAGGAGGAGGAAAGUUUUAUUCUCGACGCGUCGCGUUUUCCAUACACUCGCCGCUCGGGGAAAAAAGGUCGCACACGACCGGGUCCGGAGGUGUGGCGCUGUUUAUUAAUUUUUCGCGAAUUUUUUCCCUCUUAUUUUAGAAUCCUAUCGUAUAUAUUUAAAUAAAAGAUGAAAAAAAGCCCGCGCACUUCUCGAGGGAAAAGAGAACUUUCGAAAGCUCUAGAGUAUAGGUGCUGCUUAAAUUCUCGGAGUUUUUCUUCUCGAUUUUCGAAGCCGGGAUUUUUCCAAGAGAGGCCCCUUUGCGCGCAAAAAUUCCUUUGAUCUUUCGAGAGCCGUGCGCGCGCGGAAAGCGAAGAAUGUGCCGAGAAUUUCAUUACGUGCUUACUCGCAUAAACGUCGAUAAAGUCACUCUCCCGCGGUUUCUUUAGUUCUCGCGACUAAGUAAUGCAAACGCCUGUGUACUGUAUUUCACCGUAAAUUAAUACCAGCGACAGACGGAGAUAAAGAGCUUAAUUUCGGCAAAACGGGGGAAUUGAUGGCGAAUCGCUGUGGAUCUUCAAGUUCAAUGCUCGACAGACGGGAGAACGUGUGGACAGGGUCUUGGUAACAAUUAGUGUCAAUCAGAAUCGCCGUCGUGAUUAAUGUCAAGCCGUUCGCCUGACGUACGACCCAAUUACUCUUAUAAAUCAAUUCGGGAGUACGAAGCUUUGCUUAACGAUGCACUAAUACAAACAAUAAACGAACCUUUACGAACCGCGUAAAAAUAAGAAUGCUAGAGUCGAAGAGAAAAGGCCAUCCGGCUUUGUUUUUACUUUAAAGGAGGAAAAUAGUCACACGAGCUUGCAGUAAGGAAAAAAGCUCGUAAAGAUAAGGGAAAAAGGCCGCGCGCGAACGCAGGAGAGAGAUAUUGACAGGGAAGAGGUGAGCUUGCGGGAAAGAGAGUGACGGAACAGUGUCUAGUGCGUCGUGAGAAAGCGAAUGUAAAAAAGCCGUCGAGAGACUGAAAUUACAGGAAAAUCUACUCUCGACGCUAGCUCCGGGUGUAUGUACAAGCCUAUAGAGGUUUAUGGUUGAUGAAAAGCGAUGACUGUUGCUUAUAAUGUUGUAUUAAAUUUAAUAAAGGAUGCGUGUAUAAUGUGAUAUUAAAUCAUUUGACGAUAUAAGAUUGAUAUUCUUCCAGAAGAUAUUUGUAUUUCUGUAAUCUAAUGUAUAUAUUGUAUAAAUUGUGAUCUAUACCUUUGUUCUAAUUGAAUAAACCUAUGUUUUUGAAUGAAAA
This 2513-nucleotide long non-coding RNA is filed under the name Nasonia vitripennis (jewel wasp). RNAcentral describes it as "uncharacterized LOC116417587". Lineage: Eukaryota; Metazoa; Arthropoda; Insecta; Hymenoptera; Pteromalidae. The record is from RNAcentral.